This 72-nucleotide transfer RNA is filed under the name Saccharomyces cerevisiae P301. Its description in RNAcentral is "tRNA-Arg". The record is from RNAcentral. Lineage: Eukaryota; Fungi; Ascomycota; Saccharomycetes; Saccharomycetales; Saccharomycetaceae.
AGGUGGCAAAAAAGGCAAUCCAACCGACACUUCGGCAAAUUUCUUUCACUCUAGUCAGAGCUAAGUUCUUAU